GUAUCAUCUCUGCUCAGUUCCCAGGCUUGUAGAGACUCUCUCAAACACCUCAGGACUUGCCUGGAUGCAGCUCCCCAACCCUUCUCAAAACAACUGUGUCUGAGGAGGUGUGAACCGACAGGAAGGAGCAGGAUGAAAAAGUGGAAAAAGAGAUGGUGUUUGAAGCAAAUUUCUUCCAUCCUACUCCCAUGGUUCAAAUCCUGGCUGCACUGAAAUCAAGGAGAGUUUUGUCGGUGGUUUCAGCUCAGCAAGAAUUUCGCUCUCUUGACAUCUCCGGUGGAGGUUGACUGCUAGCUAUGGAAGAAGUAAAAGGAAAAUCUCAAAUGACCUUCCCUAAAGAUUUUCUUUUUGGGUAAGGGG
Manacus vitellinus (golden-collared manakin) is the source of this 360-nucleotide long non-coding RNA. RefSeq lists it as uncharacterized. Lineage: Eukaryota; Metazoa; Chordata; Aves; Passeriformes; Pipridae. The record is from RefSeq and is a predicted model, not a curated record. The transcript has 3 exons.